UGGUGCGAUCAUACCAGCACUAAUGAACCGGAUCCCAUAAGAACUCCGCAGUUUAGCGUGCUUAGGCGAGAGUAGUACUAGGAUGGGUAUCCUCCUGGGAAGACCUCGUGUUGCACCUC
This 119-nucleotide ribosomal RNA is filed under the name Lupinus angustifolius (narrow-leaved blue lupine). The record is from RNAcentral. Lineage: Eukaryota; Viridiplantae; Streptophyta; Magnoliopsida; Fabales; Fabaceae.